This 378-nucleotide ribosomal RNA is filed under the name uncultured eukaryote. Its description in RNAcentral is "partial 18S ribosomal RNA". It matches the Rfam family "Eukaryotic small subunit ribosomal RNA", at positions 592 to 976 of the family's 1831-position model. The record is from RNAcentral.
CAAUAGCGUAUAUUAAAGUUGUUGCGGUUAAAAAGCUCGUAGUUGGAUUUCUGCUGAGAACGACCGGUCCGCCCUCUGGGUGUGUAUCUGGCUCUUUCUUGGCAUCUUCUUGGUGAACGUUGCUGCACUUGACUGUGUGGAGCGCUACCCAGGACUUUUACUUUGAGGAAAUUAGAGUGUUUCAAGCAGGCAUACGCCUUGAAUACAUUAGCAUGGAAUAAUAAGAUAGGACCUCGGUUCUAUUUUGUUGGUUUCUAGAGCUGAGGUAAUGAUUAAUAGGGAUAGUUGGGGGCAUUCGUAUUUAACUGUCAGAGGUGAAAUUCUUGGAUUUAUGAAAGACGAACCUGCGAAAGCAUUUGUCAAGGAUGUUUUCAUUAA